Ictalurus punctatus (channel catfish) is the source of this 2999-nucleotide long non-coding RNA. The record is from Ensembl. NCBI's taxonomy places the organism in Eukaryota, Metazoa, Chordata, Actinopteri, Siluriformes, Ictaluridae.
GCCAUUUUUAAUGAACCAUCAGGCCAUGUUUGGAAACGGACACCGAUUGCCAUUGCGUUACACCCCUUCUAAGCAUGAACAAGCAUAGAUCAGAAACUGUGCUUUUGAUCUGCUUCACUACAUUGUUCUAUGACAGGUUGUAAAUUUCUGCAUCCACUAACAAUACUUUUGUAGAAAUUGUACUUUUGGCUUGCUAUUUGACGGCAAAAACAAGCCUUUCCAAUUUGUGUCAACAAAUUCCGAGCGUGGUAUUUCCGUAAUGUCACUGAAACAGCUGCAAAUCUAGAGCAAUGGAUGACCAUGUACAGUAGGGCGCUGUGAUAUGUAGUGCUGCAUCCAGCUAGCAUCUCCCCAGGCUCUCUGCAACACAUAGAAGACAUGCGAGAACAAUAAUGGCCAACGCUGUACGAUGAAAGAUAAAUCUAUCUCAUUAAUCCUUUAUUCUUCCAGGCUGGGAGGCACAUCUAACGAAACAAGCUCUAUUGUCAUCCUCUGGAAUAUUUCACACAGAUGGUCAGAGAGGAGGGGCUGCAGUGGGAUGUCAAUGUGUGCAUCAUUAGACGAUGCAGAACCUAGCAGAGAAAGACAGACUCUAGGAUGAUGAUGCUUUCAUUACCAAAUGAUCAGUGUUGGCUUUGCAUCGACGUGAGAACAAAAAGCAUUCUUUCGAUUUACUUUGAUAAGCCCCGUCAUCUUAUUUCGAAGUAAUCAGGCUCGCUAUGUUUAUGAAAUACGGUGAUGACGAGUAGGGUUUUGUUUUAAAGAAGGCAAACAUGAAAGUGUCAGCAGCUACGGGUAACUGUCCUGCUUCCGAUUUGUUUCUCAGCAGGGGUUUAUAUAGUGUGUACAGAAUGACAAAAGAACGAUAAAUAGAUGGUCGGAGGUUACAUGGUGAGAGAAAGGCCGAGAAGUGCGAGUGCGUUCUGGCGAACAAAAGCCACCGAUUCUGUGCAGCUGAAAAGCAAGUGGAGUCCAUAAAGUACUUGAUGUGCAUAUAAACAUUUUAUCAGCCUGGGAGGCCCUGUAGAGAGGUUAAGCAGAGUGUGAGCGGUGCUCGGUAAUGACCGGUCCCUCUUCACUGAAUGUGUUGAGGAAUAAAGAGCACAUUCAUUAGUUCAUUCGGACCAAAGUCGGAAAUUCUGUCAGCACUUUUCGUCCUGUUCCGUGGACUAAAUGUAUUGCAAUUAUGUGAUCACACAAGAAAUGUCUACUCCCAGGCAGGUUUCAGAAUCGUGUGAGUUAUAAGGCAAUAAAGUGGCACACCCACUCGCUUAUUAGUGGUAAAGUGAGCUCCGGUGUUUAAAGGCCAUCUAUGAUCUAGGGUCACUGACACGCUCUUAAUCGUAAUCAGGUCUAUGUGCAUUCUGCUUUUCAGGCUGUUAACUAUACAGUGUUAAAAAAAAAAAAAAAGUUACAGUAUUGUAAACAGCGUGUGUAGACUGCUAAUGGGACCGUCUUGGGAGGAUGGGAGUUUUACUAACUAGCAAACAAUAUGUCAGAUUAGAAGUUCCUCUGUCGGUCGUAUUUCCAUUUCUAUCCACAACCUGGAAUCCUUUGCGCUUUGGAUCGAAUUCAUUUUUCAUGCUGAAAAGGUGAAAAGGACAUUAAAGUUUAACCUGACGUCCUCUCCACUUACGGACCGUUCAUGAAAAUCUAGCUGAGAAAUUAACAUCCUGUAGCAUGUUAUGUCUGAACGUUCUCCUCUCCCGCUUUAUUGUUUGGGAAUGUGCCCUACUCUACCCUGUGGGGUAAAUGCAACAAGACAGCACGGCAAACCAAACUGAUUAAAAAUUCAAUUACCGUGUCUCUGAAUUCAUUUGAGACGCAAGGUGGAUAUCUGAUACACUUUCAACCUCCGAGAUUUUUCCUUUAGAUAAGAACCCAGGAUUACAGGGCCUGCAUGAGUGCUAAGUCUUGGCUCGAACCUGAUGAAACACAGGCUUUAGAAAUUAAAGUACACACUGCAAAUCCAUGAUUGUCUUAGCGAUAAAUUCUGAAGUAGAUUUCUGGCAAUUUAACGUGAGUACAACUACACACCCAACCACAUACACACACACACUCUCACACAAAAGCCUGCUCGAUGCUUAUUUCUACUUUUAAUCUCGUUGGAUUUUCUGAGCAGACCUCUGACAUCUUAAAGUCAUUAGCAGACAAGAGAUCAUAUAUGUGCAUGCUUCCUUUUCAGUCCGCAUAUAAAAGUACGUCAUAUAAAAGUGCCCUUUGUCUGAAGUUUGAUAGUCGGGCCUCAGCUAAAAAUCCGAAACGGGAGGUUCGGAGGAGAAAAGCAAACAACGUUGGAAGAUGCUGGCUAAGCGCGGCGAAGAGCGCGGCUGGGAGAGCACACUGGAUGUCAGUCCUGUCAAGCCUUCAUUUCACCUGUCAGCGCGGUGACUGACGUACAAGCACUUGUUUGCCCUUCCUGUGGUCUUCUCUUGCGUGUCCUGACAGGCGCAGGCCUCCGGAGCGGCGCACUUCGCCUCCUGCUACAAGGUCUCUCUCCUCCGGCUCUGCUGUCAGCCUUUGAUCAUGCCGAGACUCUCUGUUCUCCGCUCAGACGGACGACAGCAGCUCUCCCGCCCCACCGUGGAAUCCUUCCUGCCCCGGCCAGGUGACAGCAGAGCGUGGAAGAACCCGGUGAACCCGGAGUAAACCCAUACUGACACGGGGCAAACAGGAAGAGAAAUUCCAUGCAGACCCAAGUUCGGGAUCAAACUGAGGACUGGAGGAACCGGAGGCAGCAAUGCUGUCAGCUGCAACACCACAUCACCAAUUAUCUCUGGACCACUAUCUGCAAAACAGCAUCAAUGAUCGCCACCAUAUUUGACAUGUUUACAGUCAAUUUUUUGCCCAUAGUGUUAACACACAAAUAAAACACAAAUUAUACUUCCAUUUGUUCAGGAAACAUCCCAAAAGUUCACUUGCUGUAUUUUUUUGUAAUGUUCUCAGGAAUGUCUUCUUUUUUUGCAGCUAUUCUAAACAGCCUGUUAUCAUGAAGGUGG